RNAcentral lists this long non-coding RNA (317 nucleotides) under Bos taurus (domestic cattle). RNAcentral's name for it is "long non-coding RNA NONBTAT006745". The record is from RNAcentral. Lineage: Eukaryota; Metazoa; Chordata; Mammalia; Artiodactyla; Bovidae.
CUGAAGUUUAACACACUUUUUUCCUAGAACACUCAGUAACUUUGUCGGUGAUUUUUUUUUUUUAAGAUGUCUCUGCUUUUGUAGUUGUUAGCCUGUUCUGCUGUGUGAGGUUUAGAUGAAAUGAGAGUAAGGAGUCUGGUGGCAUGAGGUUGAGUGGAGAUGUUUAAAACUCAGACAUGGCUGUACUGUAUUUUACAAGGGUUUUGAUGUGUCAAGUCUCCUGAUUUAAUAACCUUUUGAGGAAUAUCCCCAUUUCACAGAUGACAGAAACUUAAACUUGGUGGAUUGCCAGGGGUCACUGAUGUUUGAGGGAAUGA